UGAGCAAUCUGCCCUUCUCAUCGGAAUAAGCGUUGGAAACGACGUCUAAUGCCGAAUACGACCUCCUUUCGCAUGAUCGGAGGUGGAAAGCUCCGGCGGAGAAGGAUGAGCUCGCGGCCUAUCAGCUAGUUGGUGUGGGUAACGGCCCACCAAGGCGACGACGGGUAGCCGGCCUGAGAGGGUGACCGGCCACACUGGGACUGAGACACGGCCCAGACUCCUACGGGAGNAG
RNAcentral lists this ribosomal RNA (232 nucleotides) under uncultured bacterium. Its description in RNAcentral is "partial 16S ribosomal RNA". It matches the Rfam family "Bacterial small subunit ribosomal RNA", at positions 118 to 347 of the family's 1533-position model. The record is from RNAcentral.